This 119-nucleotide ribosomal RNA is filed under the name Sinocyclocheilus grahami. Lineage: Eukaryota; Metazoa; Chordata; Actinopteri; Cypriniformes; Cyprinidae. The record is from RNAcentral.
GCUUACGUCCAUACCACCCUGUCUGUGCCUGAUCUCCUCUGAUCUCGGAAGUUAAGCAGAUUCAGGCCUGGAUAGUACUUGGAUGGGUGAUAGCCUGGGAAUACCAGGUGCUGAAAGCU